This 496-nucleotide ribosomal RNA is filed under the name uncultured bacterium. RNAcentral describes it as "partial 16S ribosomal RNA". It matches the Rfam family "Bacterial small subunit ribosomal RNA", at positions 29 to 507 of the family's 1533-position model. The record is from RNAcentral.
AUGAACGCUGGCGGCGUGCCUAAUCCAUGCCAGUCGCGCGAACAGAUAAGGAGCUUGCUCCUUUGACGUUAGCGGCGGACGGGUGAGUAACACGUGGGUAACCUACCUAUAAGACUGGGAUAACUUCGGGAAACCGGAGCUAAUACCGGAUAACAUUUGGAACCGCAUGGUUCUAAAGUGAAAGAUGGUUUUGCUAUCACUUAUAGAUGGACCCGCGCCGUAUUAGCUAGUUGGUAAGGUAACGGCUUACCAAGGCAACGAUACGUAGCCGACCUGAGAGGGUGAUCGGCCACACUGGAACUGAGACACGGUCCAGACUCCUACGGGAGGCAGCAGUAGGGAAUCUUCCGCAAUGGGCGAAAGCCUGACGGAGCAACGCCGCGUGAGUGAUGAAGGGUUUCGGCUCGUAAAACUCUGUUAUUAGGGAAGAACAAACGUGUAAGUAACUGUGCACGUCUUGACGGUACCUAAUCAGAAAGCCACGGCUAACUACGUG